Molecule: transfer RNA, 74 nt
Filed under: Aliivibrio fischeri ES114
Lineage: Bacteria; Pseudomonadati; Pseudomonadota; Gammaproteobacteria; Vibrionales; Vibrionaceae
Description: Vibrio fischeri ES114 tRNA
Rfam family: tRNA
About the family: Transfer RNA (tRNA) molecules are approximately 80 nucleotides in length.
Source: Rfam by way of RNAcentral
GCGACACUAGCUCAGCUGGUAGAGCGCAAACCUUGCCAAGGUUGAGGUCACGAGUUCGAACCUCGUGUGUCGCU